AUUAAGAUAUUAUCUUAUUUAAAAUAUUUUUCUUGGAAAAAGCCCCACUUACAAACAUAUGCAUGAUAUGCAUGAACAUAAUAUAUGAUGAAUGCAUGCAUGAUAUGGAUGACAAGGUAUGAAUACAUGAUAAUUUAAAGAUGCAUGUAACAAAGUAAAAUAAAAUGCAAAUGUAUGAAAUGUGGCAAAUGCUGGUUUUAGGGUUUAGGGGUUGGUUUGGAUUUUUAGGUUUUAGGGGAAGUUUGGAGUCUAGGUUUGGUUUCGGGGUUAGGUUGGGUUGGUUUAGAGUAUAGGUUAGGGUUUAGGGUUGAUUUGAGGUCUAGGUUAGGGUUUAGAGUAUGGAGUUUAGGUUUAGGGUUUGAUUUGGCUUAGGGUUUAAGGUUUGAGGUUUAAAGUUAGAGUCAGGGUUUAGUGUUUGGUUUAGGGUUUAGGGUUUAGGGUUUAGGUAUAGGGUUUAAAGUUUGGGUUUAGGGUUUAGGUAUAGGGUUUAAAGUUUGGGUUUUGGGUUAGAUUUAGCUUUACAUAAAGAGUACAUUGACACAUAUUGCUUGGUCGCUUGACGAAUGGCUUUCUACGACGUUAGUGAGAGCAGAGUCCAAACCAAAACCAAUUAAGCCAUUCUAAUUAGAGUAUGAUAAUGAAUUCAUUGGUGGCAAAGCUCUAAGCCUGCAGACGGAUAUCCGUCGGGACCCGAGGAUACCAGCGAUGAUGAGGUUCCCAUGAUGAUGACAUGCAACGUUAUAUCCGUCAGAACAGACUGAACAUCUAAAGAGCUCAUCAUUGAGCUAGACCGGAAAGAUGAAGGCCGAGCUAAGGAUGCAAUAGCUCAAGACUUUAAGAUGGUGAAUGAGGUAAAAAGUCUCCAUCGAUAUGGCC
Molecule: long non-coding RNA, 876 nt
Filed under: Durio zibethinus
Lineage: Eukaryota; Viridiplantae; Streptophyta; Magnoliopsida; Malvales; Malvaceae
Description: long non-coding RNA (DZIB_LNC002253)
Source: RNAcentral